Phasianus colchicus (ring-necked pheasant) is the source of this 923-nucleotide non-coding RNA. NCBI's taxonomy places the organism in Eukaryota, Metazoa, Chordata, Aves, Galliformes, Phasianidae. The record is from RefSeq and is a predicted model, not a curated record.
UGCAGGGGUUGGACUCAGUGAUCUCUGGAGGCUGGAGAUGCUGUUUGCUAAUGGCAGAUGGAGAGAGGAAAAGCAAGUGCAAGGCAUGCUGUGCAUAGCCACCACAUGGCAUCUGCACCAUUUCCCCCUGCACCAAGGAGGAGCAGCUCACAAGCUUGGCCUGGGCCAGGGAAGGGAGCAGACAAACAUCUGGACCGACCCCAAACGAGCUGGUUCUGCAGCUGUGCCAACGCUUUGAUCCCUUGCUGCUUGGAUGGGGCAUUUGAAGAAUGAUGCCUGUGCUGAUGUCCAGCCAGGCUUUGGGGAUGAGUCUCCACACCAGGGUCCGUCUGACAGGACUGAGGGCUGGGGAUCCAGCCAGUUGAAAUAGAUGGGUGCUGCAACAUGCCCUUGAAUGUAACAAAACCCACUCUAGUGUGGAUUUGACAUGGGCCCAGCACUGCAAGGUACGCUGCUGGGAGGAAGCGUCCAUCUGGCUGAGGGCAGGAAGGCCCUCCAGAGGGAUGCACUGAGGCCAGUUGUGCGAGGCUCAACAAGAGCAAGCGCCAGGUCCUGCGCUUUGGUCAUGACGACCCCGUGCCAGCUUCUCCAGGAUUUGGCUGGGGUAGAAUUCCAAGCAGCCCCUGAUUCCAGAACGUUGGGCUGGGCUGUUGGAAUCUUCUGCCCUUGAGACUGGUCUUGCCUCCCCACCCUGUCCGUCGUGGUGGAGCAGCCUGGUGGCCCUCAGUGAUGUCAUAAGGGCUAGAAUGAGGGGAGGAGCAGUGCGUGCUGCGUCCCUUCAUUGGAGCGCUGGAGCUCUGACUGAGCAGCUCGCUUGUUGCACUUGUGCACCGACUGCGUCCCUUUGUCUUCACACCGUCCUGUGCAGCACCUUGUAGGUAAGCUGAGACAGUGUGGGAGAGAUGGGGGGACAGUGAGUGCUG